GUGUAUGGAUGGUGUUCAGCACCAAGGACAGGUGUGUUCGCCUGCAUGUGGAUUGUGUUCAGCACUAAGGACAGGUGUGUUUACCU
Molecule: non-coding RNA, 86 nt
Organism: Branchiostoma floridae (Florida lancelet)
Lineage: Eukaryota; Metazoa; Chordata; Leptocardii; Amphioxiformes; Branchiostomatidae
Source: Rfam